This 501-nucleotide ribosomal RNA is filed under the name uncultured bacterium. RNAcentral's name for it is "partial 16S ribosomal RNA". It matches the Rfam family "Bacterial small subunit ribosomal RNA", at positions 29 to 523 of the family's 1533-position model. The record is from RNAcentral.
AUUGAACGCUGGCGGCAGGCUUAACACAUGCAAGUCGAACGGCAGCACGGGUGCUUGCACCUGGUGGCGAGUGGCGAACGGGUGAGUAAUACAUCGGAACGUACCCUAUCGUGGGGGAUAACGCAGCGAAAGCUGUGCUAAUACCGCAUACGCCCUGAGGGGGAAAGCGGGGGAUCGCAAGACCUCGCGCGAUUAGAGCGGCCGAUGCCUGAUUAGCUUGUUGGUGGGGUAAAAGCCCACCAAGGCGACGAUCAGUAGCUGGUCUGAUAGGAGGAUCAGCAACACUGGAACGUAGACACGGCCCAGACUCCUACGGGAGGAAGCAGUGGGGAAUUAUGGACAAUGGGGGCAACCCUGAUCCAGCAAUGCCGCGUGAGUGAAGAAGGCCUUCGGGUUGUAAAGCUCUUUUGUCAGGGAAGAAACACCGGCUCUAACACAGUCCGGGAAUGACGGUACCUGAAGAAUAAGCACCGGUUAACUACGUGCCAGCCGCCGCAGUAA